UACUCCUACGGGGAGCAGCAGUGGGGAAUAUUGCACAAUGGGCGCAAGCCUGAUGCAGCGACGCCGCGUGAGGGAUGACGGCCUUCGGGUUGUAAACCUCUUUCAGUACCGACGAAGCGCAAGUGACGGUAGGUACAGAAGAAGCACCGGCCAACUACGUGCCAGCAGCCGCGGUAAUACGUAGGGUGCGAGCGUUGUCCGGAAUUACUGGGCGUAAAGAGCUCGUAGGCGGUUUGUCGCGUCGUCUGUGAAAACCCGCAGCUCAACUGCGGGCUUGCAGGCGAUACGGGCAGACUUGAGUACUGCAGGGGAGACUGGAAUUCCUGGUGUAGCGGUGAAAUGCGCAGAUAUCAGGAGGAACACCGGUGGCGAAGGCGGGUCUCUGGGCAGUAACUGACGCUGAGGAGCGAAAGCGUGGGUAGCGAACAGGAUUAGAUACCCUGGUAGUCCACGCCGUAAACGGUGGGCGCUAGGUGUGGGUUUCCUUCCACGGGAUCCGUGCCGUAGCUAACGCAUAAGCGCCCCGC
Molecule: ribosomal RNA, 527 nt
Filed under: Rhodococcus sp. BN5
Lineage: Bacteria; Bacillati; Actinomycetota; Actinomycetes; Mycobacteriales; Nocardiaceae
Description: bacterial SSU rRNA
Rfam family: Bacterial small subunit ribosomal RNA
Source: RNAcentral